GACGAACGCUGGCGGCGUGCCUAAUACAUGCAAGUUGAGCGCUGAAGGUUGGUACUUGUACCAACUGGAUGAGCAGCGAACGGGUGAGUAACGCGUGGGGAAUCUGCCUUUGAGCGGGGGACAACAUUUGGAAACGAAUGCUAAUACCGCAUAAAAACUUUAAACACAAGUUUUAAGUUUGAAAGAUGCAAUUGCAUCACUCAAAGAUGAUCCCGCGUUGUAUUAGCUAGUUGGUGAGGUAAAGGCUCACCAAGGCGAUGAUACAUAGCCGACCUGAGAGGGUGAUCGGCCACAUUGGGACUGAGACACGGCCCAAACUCCUACGGGAGGCAGCAGUAGGGAAUCUUCGGCAAUGGACGAAAGUCUGACCGAGCAACGCCGCGUGAGUGAAGAAGGGUUUCGGAUCGUAAAACUCUGUUGGUAAAGAAGAACGUUGGUGAGAGUGGAAAGCUCAUCAAGUGACGGUAACUACCCAGAAAGGGACGGCUAACUACGUG
This 497-nucleotide ribosomal RNA is filed under the name uncultured bacterium. RNAcentral describes it as "partial 16S ribosomal RNA". It matches the Rfam family "Bacterial small subunit ribosomal RNA", at positions 28 to 507 of the family's 1533-position model. The record is from RNAcentral.